Polypterus senegalus (gray bichir) is the source of this 396-nucleotide non-coding RNA. NCBI's taxonomy places the organism in Eukaryota, Metazoa, Chordata, Cladistia, Polypteriformes, Polypteridae. The record is from the annotation of a RefSeq genome assembly.
AUAUCUUAGUCCUUAGCAAGAUUUUUUUUUAAAAUGGGGAUUUUACAAUUUCCUUUACUUGUAAUGGCAUUAGGCUUUUAUGGUGUUCAGGCUCAAAUAACACUGACAGAAUCAGAUCCUGUAACCCUACAGCCAGGACAGUCACAUAAAUUGUCAUGUAAAGCCUCAGGAUUUACAUUCAGUAGCUUCGCCAUGACCUGGGUCCGUCAGCCUCCUGGUAAAGGACUGGAAUGGGUGGCAGCAAUAUACAGCAGUGGUAGCCAGUAUUAUGCAUCAUCUGUGCAGGGAAGAUUCACCAUCAGCAGAGACAAUUCUAACAACAUGCUGUACUUAACCAUGAACAACCUACAGACUGCAGACACAGCCGUGUAUUACUGUGCUAAAGAUACACAGUGA